Molecule: transfer RNA, 72 nt
Filed under: Camelus dromedarius (Arabian camel)
Lineage: Eukaryota; Metazoa; Chordata; Mammalia; Artiodactyla; Camelidae
Also listed under: 1 other name
Rfam family: tRNA
About the family: Transfer RNA (tRNA) molecules are approximately 80 nucleotides in length. Their secondary structure includes four short double-helical elements and three loops (D, anti-codon, and T loops).
Source: Rfam by way of RNAcentral
GAAGGUUUAGCUCAGUGGUAGAGCACAUGCUUAGCAUACAUGAGGUCCUGGGUUCAAUCCCCAGGACCUCCA